Molecule: long non-coding RNA, 3871 nt
Organism: Equus caballus (horse)
Lineage: Eukaryota; Metazoa; Chordata; Mammalia; Perissodactyla; Equidae
Source: Ensembl
CACCAAAUCAGAUACAGAAACCUUUUUAAAAAGAUUACAUUUUCAUGAACUGAUUUUAGGAAAGACUGGCUUUCGUUUAACCAGAAGCUCCAGGAGCCGGUUGUGGGCUCUGGGCGGCUGUGCCAGCCCCACAAGAGGUCAGGGGUGGCAACAGGCUCUUCUUCCCCAGGGAACUGUGAUGGCUUAGGGCACCGAGCUGGCGCUGGGGCUUCUCUGGUUUCUUCAUGGUGCCCAGCAGCGCUGCUGACUUGACCCAUUAACAGCGCUUCAGCACAACAUGUUCCAGAUUUCACUGAUUCCUCAGACUCGUGCUCCUUUGAGAUAAUGGAAGUGCAGCCUUAUUAGCCUCAACUUAGGAACCUCAGUUUCUCCAUCUGUACAAUAAUAGUAAAAGUAACCAUCCUUCUGCCUUUUCAGUGUGGAUGUAAGGGUCACAUAAGAAGGAGAAUGUGAAAACAUGGUGUAGAUGGGGACACAUUAGAUCAGUGAGAGGGAUUUGGGGGUCAGUAAUUAUUUUCAUGGGGAGCAUCUUAAUGGGAUGGCUUGGUUGGGGAUUUCAUUUCCAGCACUGAACGUGAAACAUUCAGUAAAUAUCAACGGUGUGCAGGUUUAUCCGCAGUCGGGUUCAAGUAAAGGAUUGUGGUCGUACUAACAGAGAACACGUGAUGCCCAGGAGCCUGGAAAUCUGCGCUCUCCUUCUGCAUCUGACACUCUCUUGCCCUGUGACUUUGAGCUAGUUAUUUCCAUCCUGUGAACCUCAGUCUUCUCAUCUGAUCUCUGGGGACUUUCCAAGCUCUAAAUUAGUAAUUCUGAUGCUGCAGAAUCCAGAAUCCCAGCAUGAGGUGAGAUCGGGGUUGGUUCAGAGGUACGUCCACCCUGAGACCCUCUGAGGCCCUUUCUAGCUUCCCCUGCCCUGCCUGUGUCAGUGUUUCCCCAGUGAUUUUCUCUAGCCUCUCAGGGGUAUAUUCCUCUGACUCAGAACCUUCUGGAGCCCCUGGGAGCAGCCAAGUUAAGGGUCUCAGGGCAGGGCUGAAAUGCCACCUCUGUCUCAAGCUGAGUGGGAAGGUUGCUGCCCACCAAGAGCAUGAUGGAGGGAUGUCAAGGCAACAUCCUCGACUUCAUCAAAGCAGUUCCAAGGGUCCACAAACAGGUGCUGGCUUGUUAAGAGAAACAAUUUCUAUGUUUUCCCACUCUGACCACAUUAGUCAUUCAAGUGCUGAGGAACCAUAUAAAUUCCUGUCAUCCUGGUUUAUGUGGCCACUAAGAUUUAUUCCAAGCGACAGGUCAUUAAGGUUUCUUCUCUUUAUUUUUUUCUCGGAUUCACUGAAAACUCAUAUUUCUGCUCCAUGUUAUGGACUGCUAACAGCUAUGGUUUGGGUCAGGAAGUCAGCAAUAAAUCUGAAUUUAAUAAACUGACAAAGAUUGCUAUCCCAGAGACAGUCUGAGCCCCUGUUCUUCGUCUCCUUUUAUACAGACACUUUCAUGUUGAGACACCUUCCACAUAAGAGGCACCUUGCCAUCUAGCUAUUUGCCUCCCCCAGUAGAUGUUUUGCUGGACUGAAGUGACCGUAUAAUUACAGAUUGCUAGAGUCAGAAGACCGAGUCCCACCUGUGGUGGGGGGGGGGGGGGGGGGGGGAGAAUCUGAACUUCAGGACCCUCCAGUCCCAGACUGUGUGCCUUAGCAUGUCAUCAAAUCUGAGCCUCGGUGUCUUCACUGCAGAAUGGAGAGCAUCAUCUUCAUCCUUUCUACUUCUCAGAGCUACUGGGAAGGUAAAAUUCAAGCGAGGGCAGAUGGGAACCAUGAAGCUCCAUGUGGCUGGGGCCGAUUGUGACUGCUUUGUCAGUUUUAAAUUUUCAGCAUGUUAGAGCUAAGGGCAUCUUAGAUUCUUCACUUUUCAGUAGAAAAACUGAGUUAGCAGCAAAGGAUAUCUCCCCCAGGGCAUCCGACUCUCCUUUCUGGAGUUCUUUCAGUUAAACCACACUGCUCCCCAAGUCUCAGGCGCUGAUGGUAGGUGCCGGGUUUAGGGGAGCAGUUCUCUGAGGUUUUCUGGGAAGCCUCACCCGCUGCAGACUGCUCGGCCGCAGGGAGGCUCUGGGAACUUGUUGGCUGGGACGAGAGUUAGCACCACCCUGCCUUCGUCCACUCCCAGUCCAGCUGUGAUUGCCUUAAGGGCAGUUCUUACAUAGAAGAGGCAGAUAGGAAUGACUAUUUGAGAGAAGUCCAAAUUAAUCCAUGCGGGCUGACGUUCUGCUUAAACUCCAGAGAGCAUCCUGGUGGCUGGGAUGCAUCUCUCCUAAGACCUUAGCAUCCCUUCCAGAAGGUAGCAAAGCUAUCCUAGGAGAUGAAGGUCCAAUCUCUUUCUUACUGGGGCUUUCAAAUGCACCCCCAGAACCUGAGCAACUCCACUCCCCAAAAUUGUGGAGCAGAAAAAGAACUCUUGGAAGAUUAGCAUGCCAACAAAUACAUCAAACUCAUAAACUUCUGUCUCCCAACCCUCUAUAAACUGCUCUCUUCAAGCCCUCCAUAAACUCCUGUCUGGGUCUGUAAAUAACGACCAUAUAAGGGUUUUUCCAGUAAACACUGGAGGCAGACAUGCACGGACAUUUCCAAGAGCUUAUUUGUGACCAGGUAUCGACGAAAAUAAUCCAUAAUCAAUCUAUAAAUGAAAAUUUGGGUGAGUUUAUUCUGAGCUGAAAUCUGAGGACCAUGGCCCGGGGCCUUUCUUCCCAAAGGAAGAAAGGGCACCAAAGAAGUGAGGUAUACAGAGUGGUUAUAUAGCCCCAACGAGGAUGCUUUACAUAUGAUUGAAAUGUCCCUCCCACAAUAGUCACAAGAUUGCCCCGUCGGCACAGCACAGCGCUUGAUGGACACAGCAGGUAGUGGGUCUGCUAUCUCAGUGGGCAGCAGGAGGCAAGUCUAUUGUCUCGAGCUGGGUGGUCACAGGUGAACACUGCAAUCAGUUCCUAGCCUAAGGAAAGAUGCUUAAUCCUUAAGGGAAUGCCAACACUGGGAAGGGGAGGGAAGUUGCACCUUUAUCUCAAGGGCCUUUGUUCUUGCCAUAGGGAACGUCUAAGGCAGAUAUACAAUGCAUGCUCAACAGCCACGGUCAGGCCCUUUUGGAAAGACAAGGUCAGGCCGAAUUAGGUUUACACCAAAUGGCUUCCUCAUAUUCUCCAAUAUAUCCUAUUGCUUGCCAUUUUUAUUUGUGACCAGGUGAGCAAAGCUUAUUAAAGUUAUCCUGUGUGCUCUGCCACCCUUUUUACAGUUUCAUACCUCAGCCAUAAACACCCAACAAUUUUUAUUUACCAGCUCUUUCCCUACAUGUUUCUGUAGUUUCCAACCAAAACUUGAUGCAAAUGGUGGGAAAAUUAAUCCUAUUGACUAAAAUUAGAAAGUUCUAAAAAUAGAGCUGUUUCAAAAAAUAGUAUGGGCUGCUCUGAGCAAUAGUGAGUCUCCCAUCACUGGAGGUAUGUAAGCAGAGUCUGGAAAACUACCUGCUUAACGGUCUAAAGAGGAAUUCCUGAAAUAGGCUGGGCAAUUGGGUUAGACAACCUACAAGUCAGAAAUUCUGGGAAUCAAAUAUGUCUGUUCCCCAAAGCUCUUCUGAAGGCUCGGUCUGUGCAGGCUGUGCCCUGGGGAGAGACAAAGUACACCCAGCCCCUGUUAGCCCUCGGUGAGAUCCCAGCUUCGUGAGAAGACAGACAAGCCAGCAACUAACUCAAGUGCAGGCAAAACGGUGCAGGUGUUGGAGAGAGGUGACCAACAGCCAGCUGUGAGUUUGCAGAGGUGGCUGAUAUGACGGACCCCCUGGGACUGGAGAAAGUUUCCCACAGCUGCGUCCUUGUUUGGAGGGCUCUGGCUGUGGGAAG